This 465-nucleotide ribosomal RNA is filed under the name Vreelandella stevensii. Its description in RNAcentral is "partial 16S ribosomal RNA". It matches the Rfam family "Bacterial small subunit ribosomal RNA", at positions 338 to 795 of the family's 1533-position model. The record is from RNAcentral. Lineage: Bacteria; Pseudomonadati; Pseudomonadota; Gammaproteobacteria; Oceanospirillales; Halomonadaceae.
CCUACGGGGGGCAGCAGUGGGGAAUAUUGGACAAUGGGGGCAACCCUGAUCCAGCCAUGCCGCGUGUGUGAAGAAGGCCCUCGGGUUGUAAAGCACUUUCAGUGAGGAAGAACGCCUGGUGGUUAAUACCCAUCAGGAAAGACAUCACUCACAGAAGAAGCACCGGCUAACUCCGUGCCAGCAGCCGCGGUAAUACGGAGGGUGCGAGCGUUAAUCGGAAUUACUGGGCGUAAAGCGCGCGUAGGUGGCUUGAUAAGCCGGUUGUGAAAGCCCCGGGCUCAACCUGGGAACGGCAUCCGGAACUGUCAAGCUAGAGUGCAGGAGAGGAAGGUAGAAUUCCCGGUGUAGCGGUGAAAUGCGUAGAGAUCGGGAGGAAUACCAGUGGCGAAGGCGGCCUUUUGGACUGACACUGACACUGAGGUGCGAAAGCGUGGGUAGCAAACAGGAUUAGAUACCCCUGUAGUC